Long non-coding RNA from Paramacrobiotus metropolitanus, 1331 nucleotides. RefSeq lists it as uncharacterized. The record is from RefSeq and is a predicted model, not a curated record. Lineage: Eukaryota; Metazoa; Tardigrada; Eutardigrada; Parachela; Macrobiotidae. The transcript has 5 exons.
UGUAGCGCUAACCGUAGGAUUUUAUUUUUGAGUUUCAUGCACGGUAGAUUAUUGUAUCUGUAACAACUUGAUCAUUAUUAGCACGUAUGUUAGAAAUUUAAAUCACAAUCAGAGAAACGUGUUGUUAUAGUUGAGAACUUGAGAUCAUUUAGUUUUUUUCGAUGCAGUACCUGAUGUGACGGUUUACGUAGCACUGAUUCCAGUCUCUUGUCAUCAAAGUGGUCAUCAAAGAUGUGAGCGUAGCCCCGUACCGUAGCCCCGUACCGUAGCCCCGUACACUGAGGACCUUUGAAAAUUGUGAUGAACGUGGUGUUGGAAACAUUUUGAAUCUGCUCUCCCAACAGCCGACAAUGCGCUUGUAAAGCACGUAGUACACUUCAACUGGAGGGGCGGAGCUCCAGUCAAACUGAUGAAAAUAUUAAUGACCGGUUCAGUUCGUCAGUUCGGGCCUCCAGUAUAGGCGUUCCCAUCAGUUUCACUUGAAGUAUAACGCUUGCUUAACCGAUAGAACCAUCCGUCGGUUCAGAAAAAAUUCGUUGGAACCGGAGUGGCAAAAACGCCCAGCAGACAUUCUUGCUACUUUCGGAGUAACCGUAAAAGAGUAGAAAAGUUUGUCUAGCAGAGAGGACAAUAUUUCUAAGCACCUCAUGUCAUCCAUGGUCGGAAAAACCUGAUUGUGACUUCCGUGUUUGCACCAUCGCUGAACUGGAGUGCUAUAGGUGACCUAACUACCGCGUUAUUAUGCCGGCGUGUUUGCGUUGGAGACAAGAUUUACGCGUUAGGUGGCGCCGUUGAUGAUGAUACGGAAGGGUUCAUUGAGGUUUAUGAUGAACCGUCGGAUACCUCGUCCCAUAUCGAAAGCACACUGCAGAGACGUGCAUUCGGUUGUGCAGUGAUGCGCAUUCCCAAAAGCUCCACUGACUCGAAAAAAGAAAUGUGGAUUUCCGACUGUACUGCUUCAGUAAAGUUCCUCGAUAACGCCGUGUAUAAAUUGUUCGGGUUAUUCACUAAAUUCAAGGUUUGAUCACUCUUUUCAAAGUUUGUGUCCUGGCUGAAACGUUUCCUGACUCCGAAUGUCUUGUUCUUCGGCAUUUCCAACGGUUUCUUCUAUUAUCUUGUAAGCAGCCAGCGCCAUGUGGCACAUUACGGAUACAUGAUGGACUGCUGAUGUCAUGGCCAUUAAUUUGAAAUAACGCUUAUAAUAAUGUCAUAUUCGAUUUCACUUCGUUGUAUCGUAUCCCCUCUGUAGCGCAUGUUAGAAAUGAGCUUGUGUUGGGAAUUCAAACUGGGCCAAACACAUGUAUGUAAACUGGAGCAGGUUUGUGGCUGCC